GUAGCGGUGUCUUUAGACACCACCUUUUGUCAUUGAAAUUUGUAUU
This is a non-coding RNA of Picea glauca (white spruce), 46 nucleotides long. Lineage: Eukaryota; Viridiplantae; Streptophyta; Pinopsida; Pinales; Pinaceae. The record is from Rfam.